This 241-nucleotide long non-coding RNA is filed under the name Elaeis guineensis (African oil palm). RNAcentral describes it as "long non-coding RNA (EGUI_LNC019540)". Lineage: Eukaryota; Viridiplantae; Streptophyta; Magnoliopsida; Arecales; Arecaceae. The record is from RNAcentral.
GGGCCCCUUCUAGCACCAAUCUUUUGGUGCUAAAGUUCAUUGACGCCAGAUUCACUGGAGUUGCAGGUGUGAACAGAGCCUCUAGGUGGUGUACCUGCAAAAAGUUUGAAUUGAAAGAGAUUCUGAUGGGGACCCUCCAAUUCUCAAGUCAGCUAGUAGAACCAACAGAUAGAGGAACGCCAGGCUUAAAAAAUAUUAUGUACCUGGGUCUCUCUUUUUUAUCUCCUUUUAUAGAUAAAGG